ACAUCGAAAGCUUGCUUUUGAUGGGCGUCGACCGGCGCACGGGUGAGUAACGCGUAUCCAACCUGCCCACCACUUGGGGAUAACCUUGCGAAAGUAAGACUAAUACCCAAUGACGUCUCUAGAAGACAUCUGAAGGAGAUUAAAGAUUUAUCGGUGAUGGAUGGGGAUGCGUCUGAUUAGCUUGUUGGUGGGGUAACGGCCCACCAAGCCUGCGAUGGAUAGGGGUUCUGAGAGGAAGGUCCCCACAUUGGAACUGAGACACGGCCCAGACUCC
RNAcentral lists this ribosomal RNA (274 nucleotides) under uncultured Prevotellaceae bacterium. Its description in RNAcentral is "partial 16S ribosomal RNA". It matches the Rfam family "Bacterial small subunit ribosomal RNA", at positions 68 to 339 of the family's 1533-position model. Lineage: Bacteria; Pseudomonadati; Bacteroidota; Bacteroidia; Bacteroidales; Prevotellaceae. The record is from RNAcentral.